Molecule: long non-coding RNA, 7564 nt
Organism: Equus caballus (horse)
Lineage: Eukaryota; Metazoa; Chordata; Mammalia; Perissodactyla; Equidae
Source: Ensembl
CGUCCAAGCAAAUUCUGCAAGAUUUUGCAGCUCAUAGUAGUAGCUGUCACACAUACCCAGGUCUGCACGACCCCAGGGACAGCUCUUUCCACUUCUCAGACAUUUAAUCCACUUGAAACAUCAGGCCGAUGUGACAUAUAGAAUUCAUACUUCAUAUUUAGCUUCCCGGUGCCCUUACCAAUGUCUUCUCUCUUCAUUACGAACGCUGACUCCCCUAGCUGUUGGGCUGUGAGAAGUUCAAGACACAUGGAGAGGCCAUAAGGGGGCGCUCUGGUCCACAGCCCCAGCAUCAGUUGCCAUUCAUGGGAGCGAGCCAUCCUGGAUGCCCAGCCCACUGAGCCUACAGACGACUUCAGACCCAGCUGAUACUGGACUGCAACCAUACAAGACACCGGUAAUCAACCUGGUAUAGGAGUUAGGAUGGAGUGUGGUUGGCGGAUGAUAGGACUCAGAAAUAAAAUCACUGAAAUGGAUUCCUGCUUUGAAUAAUACAGGGAAACGGACCCGGGCCCCGGCGGUGAGAGCACUGAAUCUUAACCACUGACCAAUAUGGCUGGCUUUAAAAACGUUUCCUAAGCACUUCUGAUGUGGGUAACCAAAACCUGAACAUAACCCACGCAGCCCCUCCAGGAAGAUCUCCAUCCACUAGGGGAAUCAGACACUGCUUUAAAUCAUUGUCGACACAAUAAAAUAUGGAUAUCAUACAGGCUACAAUUUGGCGUAUUUUAUUUUGCAAUUUAGAAGAAAUUCUUUUAAACAGAAGCCACCAGGAUGUUCACAAAAAAAGAGAACGCCUUUGGGAAGGUUGCAAUCACUGGAUGGCUGGCCCCCCGCAGCUGUUGAACCCAGAAUUCAGAUUGCCCAGGGGCUUAUCAAGAGUGUCCCCUUUGUUUCUCUGAAGCUCCUCCUACAAAUCCCCUUAGCACUAUAAAAUCCCCCUGCUUUUUGCUCUUGCUAAGGUGGACUUGAGCAAACCCAUGCUCCCACCUUGUUUUGGCCAAUUUGAAUAAAACCUUUCUCCAUCUCCAAACACUAUGUCUCAAUGUUUGGCUGACUGCUCCUCGGGCACAUGAAUUUGAGAUUAAGAGAUUAGGUAUCAAUUCUGGUGAGCCAGCCAGGAGUCUUGUGUCCGUAGCUGGAUGGGCACAGUGAGGGUUUGAGCAGUUGGUGGUCCCCAGCAGCUGCCUAGGUGUCUUUGCCCAGGGGACUUCCUCUGCUUCUCCUCCCUUCCCACUGGCAUCAACCGCCCUUGGUGCAGCACUCACUUGGAGUGGAGAAAUGUAUUGGACCUCGGUCUACUUUUUGUCAUUGUGUGGAUGCAUUUGUCUUAUCAGAUAUGAGUACUUUUGAUUUUGCUUUGCUGGGUGAGUCAUCACAACACACGCAGCUACAAAUUCCCUGUCUCCCUGUUUGCAUUUUGUGUGAUUGAAAGGAGGCAUCCUCAUAUGGGAGAGAGAGAGGGGACUGUUGGACUUCACCUUUUGCUUUUAUCCUGCAGGUGUUGGAUUUUGUCUUUGUGUGGGUGCACUCGUGUGUGUGAGUCAGCUACAGGAAACACUAAUUCCAUCCCUGAAUGCAGCCUCCUGGGACACAUACUUCAAAACUGGAUGGCUUUUAGUUAUGAGCCUAUGAAAUGUGAAAAGAUGAGUUUCCUUUGUAAUGUUUCCCGGCCACAGUGCUCCUUAGGUUUUUGAGAAAAGUGGCCUGUUAAUGGAUCUCUAAGUUAUGCUAUCAUCUUGCAAUUGGAGUUGUUCUGUAACAGAAAAGGGAAAUGGGAUGAAAUCUCGUACGUGCAGGCUUUUAUGCUGUUGCACUAAAAUGAGUCAGCCCACAGGAGGUACAAUCUGAUGGUGCAAAGGGCUGAGAAGCCUGAGCUAGUUCUGUUGGACGCCAAGGGCAUGAAGAAGGAUGAUGAAAUUUUGAUCAAUGCGUUAAAUCCUCCCACAGCUCUGCCAGAAACCCUGCUGGCCCUUGUGCCACCUCCUUUUCAGCCAGCACCCUCUCUGCUGGUUCCCACUCUGCAACCAGUGGACCCUUCACUCAUGGCAACCUCCGGCCCACCCCCCUAUGGAAGGCAGGUAGCAGGGACCACACAACCCCCAAGAGUUGAGGGAAGCCAGGAUGUGCUCUCUACUUCCCGUAGGUAGUAGGGUGUGCAGUUCAGCCAGGGAGCAGGGGCUUCUCAAGAACGGCAGUUUCCACUCCCCGAGUUCCCAAUCAGAGGACUGAAUGCUAAUGGCCAGCCAGCAGGCCUGAUAUGAGUGCAUCCCCUCUUUUCUAUUUUGGAUCUUUUUAAUUGGAAGAACAAUAAUCCAUCCUAUAGACAGGACCCCAAGCAUAUGACUGAGUUAUUCUCCUCCAUCAUUUUUAAAAAGAUUUUUCCUUUUUCUCCCCAAAGCCCCCCAGUACAUAGCUGUAUAUUUUUAGUUGUGAGUCCUUAUAGCUGUGGCAUGUAGGAUGCUGCCUCAGCAUGGCCUGAUGAGUGGUGCCAUGUCCAUGCCCAGGAUCCCAACUGGCAAAACUCUGGGCUGCCGAAGCAGAGAGCAUGAACUUAACCACUUGGCCAUGGGGCCGGCCCCUCCUCCAUCUUUUUGACAUACCAUCCCACUUGGGCUGACAUUCAAGCCUUAAUGAAUAUUUUACUCACAGCGGGGGAGGCCAUAUGGUUAUUGAAAAGGCACAGGAGGAACCCCAUUGGCUCCAUUUCAAGGACGGGGACAAUCAGCCUAAUUUCACUGAGGCUGUCCCACAGUUGAACUAAACUGGGAUACAAAUGGAGGGGGAAUGCUCUGCCUAGAACACUACAGGAAAUGUAUUCUGGAAGGAUUGGGAAAAGGAGUCCCACAAAGUUCAGGAAGUUCAGCAAAAACCACAGAAGGAUCCGUCCCAGUUUUUAGAACAAGCAUAUCAAGCCUAUAGGAAGUACACCAGUGCUGACCCUGAGGCCCCAGAGAAUCAGAAAGUAAUCAACAUGACCUUCAGCAGUGGGAGUGCCCCAGAAUCAGGAGGAAACUACGGAAGGUCGAUGGGGCCCUCAUGCUGACCAUCUCCCACGUGGAUGACCUUGCUUUUAAGGUUUACAACUGUAGGGAUCAGGUCCAGGACAUGAAGGAACAAUGGAGAAUGAAGCAGCGGGUCUCUCUGCUGGUGGUGGUGCUCCAUCAAUGAGCCAUUGGGAAGACAGGGAGAAGAUCAAAAAAGGGACUGAGAAAGAUAAGAGGAGAACGUCCAACCCUGGGGAAAGAUCAGUGUGUAUGAUGUAAGGAAGAAGGACAUUAGAAGAAGGAGUGUCCCAGGUUGUAGAAGAUGGCCAAAGAAGGUGAGACACCCUUAACCCAAAUGGUGAAAAUAGAAGGGGGAGAUACAGAUGAGGAAUGAAUAGGCCCAGGGACCCUGCUUAGACUGAAGCAAGCUAUCUUUAUAUCCCCACAGUAGCCUCAGGUUCAAAUGACAGUGGGCAAAAAGAUAAUUGACUUUCUCAUCAAUACAGGGGCUACCUACUUUGUUGUUAACACACAUUUAUCCCCCAACUCAAAAGAAGCUAUCUAUGGUUGUUACCAGGGUGUCAGUGAAGACAAUGACCCACCCCUUUUUACAACCCUUGGACUGUCAUCUUGGAAAUACAAACCUGAGACACAGUUACAUACACAGAUACAUGCCCUAAUGCCCUAUUCCUCUUCUGGGUCAGGAUUUGCUUGCCAGGCUAAAUGCCCAAAUUAUUUGUUCCCCAGGACACUUAGAAGUGGAGGUCCCUCCGAGCUUGCCUUCACCUCUCAGACGCUAUUGUUGCAGCUUGAUGAUGGAUCUCAACCUGAGAUACCUGAGGAAAUUCUUGAUAGGGUAAGAGAGGACAUCUAGGCAAGUGGGAGGUAGGGAUGGACCAAAACCAUGGUUCCUGUGAAGGAGCAUGAGAGCCUCAAUCUAAAACAAUACCCUCUGAAAGAAAAAGCACAGAGAGAGGUAAAGCCCUAUUGAAGGUUUUUCUGCAGCAGGGCUUGAUUCACCCACGUUCUCACCUUACCAUACUCUCAUCUUACCAGUGUUCAAGCCCAAGUCCAAUGAAUACCAGUUCCUUCAAGACCUUCGAGCUAUAAAUCAGAUGGCUCCAGAUGUGCACCCAGUGGUUCCCAAUCUGAACACUUUGCUGACUAUUUUGUCAGGAGACCCGUGCUGGUUCACGGUCUUGGGUUUGAAAGAUGCCUUUUUCUGCAUUUCCUGGGAUGAAAGUUCCCAAGAGGCCUUUCCCUUUGAGUGUCAAGGUCCCAAGACCAAUGUCAAACAGAAGUUUUGCUGGUCCGUUUUGCCUCAGGGUUUUAAAAAUCUGCCCACGAUAUUUGGGGAAAUAUUGGCUAGGGACCUAAGGGAACUUCAGCUGGUGGAAGGGGCUCUUACAAUAUGUGGACGACGUUCUCGUUGCUAAUAAAUCUAAGGAAGCUUCAGCUGAAAACACCACUUGAAUUUUAAAAUUUCUUAGCAGAUAGAGGUUACAAGGUUUCAAAGAAGAAGACCCAAAUUUGUGAAAAGACAGUUAAAUACUUAGGGUUUGAACUGCCAGAAGGACAGAGAAGCCUGCUCCCAGAUAGGAGGGAAGCAAUCCCUUAAGUAGUGACUCUCACCACCCGUUUACAGAUGUGGGGAUUUUUAGGGAUGGCAGGCUUCUGUUGAAUUUGGAUUCCCAACUCAGGAUUAACUGUAAAACCUCUGUAUGAGGCCUUAAAGGGAGGAGACCUCGAGCCUUUGGUGUGGACACAAGUGUGCCAGAAUGCAAUCAGGUUAAAGAAAAAUUGUUAACUGCCUCAGUCUUGGGACUCCAAGAUUUGAGAAAGCCCUUUGCUCUUUUUGUACAUGAGAAACAGAGCCUUAGUUUGGACGUCCUGACCCAGAACUUUGGACCCACUAGGAGGCCUGUGGCCAUUUUUCUAAGCAGUUGGUCAGAGGAUGGCCACCUUGCUUCUGAGCUGUUGUCCGCCACCAGUGACAUACUACAGGAAACUGAAAAGUUCACACUGGGGCAACCCACCAUGGUGCACACUCCCCGCUGUGUCCUCCCUUUUUAGAACAGAUGGAGGACAUUGACUAACCUCAAGAAGAUUAGGUAGGUAUGAGGCUAUUUUAUUAGACCACCCAGAGGUAAGUUAAAAGCUAUUUCUACCUUAAACCCUGCAACCUGCUACCUACUGAUGUCAAACAGCCCUCCUUUUAUGACUGUCUUCAGAUCAUUGAACAGGUAUUCUCUAGUUGACCUGAUUAGACUGACCAACCUUUGGAGUAGCCAGACUUGGAAUUGCUCACUGAUGGAAGCAGCUUCAUGGAUCAGGGGCAAUGUCAAGCAGUGUACAUAGUUGUCACCUUAUAGGACACCAUGGAAACAAAGGCCCUACCUCCAGGUAUCUCAGCUCAAAAGGCUAAACUUAUAGCACUAACUAGGGCUCUUCAAAUAGGUAAAGACAACAGAGUCAAUAUAUAUAUACAGAUUCAAAAUGUGCCUUUUUAGUGGUCCAUGCCCACAGGGCCAUAUGGAAAGAUGGGGGACUCUUGACUGCUGGAAAGAGGGACACAAAAUAUUGCCAGGAAAUGCUAACAUUCUUAGAGGCCGUUAAUGACCCCAUGGCAGUAACUAUCGUUCACUGCCCUGGACAUCAGAAAGGGGACACUUUGGAAGCCAGAGGCAAUCAACUGGCUGAUCAGGCAGCCAAGACUGCUGCUAGGACUAUGAGUUUCAAGGCACUCCUGGCUCCCUUAGUUCCCCAAAUUGACUGUAUUCCAACCUAGCUACCCCCAGAAAGAUUUAGGGAGAGCCAGAGAAGGGGGAUUUGGCUCCUCCUCUCUGGAGCAUCCUGGCUGGAAAUGUACCUUGGAAGUACUCAUCCUGGUACCUGAAGCCCUUCUGGGAGAAAUUGUUAAUCAAACCCAUCAGAGCACUCACUAUGGGAGGGAUGCCACCUUGCAGUGGAUCCAAAGGUAUUUAGUCGGUCUGAAAUUGUAACAGAUCAUUCAGAAAGUUACCCAACAAUAUGUUAUGUGUGGCAAAAAUAAUCCCAGGACGGGGCUGCCCUCUUUGAACAAGGGGGUUCAACAUUGAGGAGCAGCUCCCUGUGAGGACUGACAAGUUGACUUUAUUAUGAUGCCUCGAGCCUCUGGGAAUGUCAAGUAUCUCCUAGUAUUCAUAGAUACCUUUACAGGAUGGGUUGAAGCUUUUCCUUCCAGAACUGAGAGGGCUAAUGAAGUGACCAAAGCUUUGUUAAAGGAGAUCAUUCCCAGGUACGGAUUCCCACUGUUGAUCCAGAGUGACAACAGAGUCGCAUUUAUCUCCCUAAUAACCCAAGAAAUAUCAAAAGGCUUGGGGAUCACUUAGAAACUCCAUGCCUCAUGGCAGCCCCAGUCAAUGGGGAAGACUGAAAAGACGAACCACAAAGAAGACUAUUGCCAAAAUUUGUCAGGAAACUAACUUAAUCUGGGACAAGGCGUUGCCCUCUGCCCUGCUGAGCAUCUGGGUAGCUCCCUGAAGUAGGCUUUAAUUGAGCCCCUUCGAAGUGAUGUCUGGGAGACCAUUCUCAGCUUCACCAAUGGGGGGAGAUUUUAUACAACAGAAAGAAAUAGCAAUCAGGCAGCACUUAAAAUUUUUAAAUGGAAUCCUAACUUCUCUUCAUGAGUUUGCCUCUCACAGAUCCCUGUUCCUGUCAGAUGUCCCACCCUACCACAUCAAGGCAGGUGACCAUGUUCUCCUUAAGUCUGGGAAGGAGCAUGGACCAAAGGAUCAACUAACCCCCAAGUGGACUGGGCCUUAUGAAGUCCUCCUGACCACCCAUUCAUCAGUCAAAUUGGCCAGAGUCAAGCCGUGGAUUCAUCAUACCUGAGUGAGGCUCACCUCCACCACAACCAGAGCCACUGGUCUUAUGAGCCACUGAAAGACCUUAAGCUGCUAUUCUGGGUUAAGAUAGCUGAUACCAAGCCGUCAGAUAAAUAAAAUUAUUUGGGGUCUUGCAUUCUGAGUUCUGGAAAUUUGGGUUAUCAAAUAUGGAAUAAAGUGCUGUUCUAAGUUAAAAUCAAUCAAAUAAAGAUAAUGCAAAAUGCAAAAUAUAGCCCAGUACCGAAGAGUAUUUUCAAUCUCAGGUUCAAAAAUUUGCUUCCUCAGUUUCCCCAUCUUUACCCCCUUUCAGCAAGAAGUAGCCAAACAAUCCAUAUGCCACUUCCUAGAAGAAUGAGGAAGGGAAAAUAGACAGUGGAGAUUAAAGCUGGGUACCUGAGGGUUACCAUAGAUAUUCAAUAAGCAACUUGCUGGUUUCUUGCUUAACUUGAGGAGUGACUCAGGGGUCUCAAGGAUUUGUGAGCUUGUUUUUCAGAAUACAGAGAAUAACUUUGGGGGGUUUGCAAUCACUGCAUGGCUGGCCCCCAGCUGCCAUUGGUGCCUAGAAGUCAGAUUUCCCAGGGGCUUAUGAGGAGUGACCCCUUUGUUUCUCUGAAGCUCCUCCUGCAAAGCCCCUUAGCUCUAUAAAACCCCCCUACUUUUUGCUUUUGUUAAGGUGGAUUUGAGCAAAUCCAUGCUCCCACCUUCUCAUUUUGG